This 497-nucleotide ribosomal RNA is filed under the name uncultured bacterium. Its description in RNAcentral is "partial 16S ribosomal RNA". It matches the Rfam family "Bacterial small subunit ribosomal RNA", at positions 28 to 507 of the family's 1533-position model. The record is from RNAcentral.
GAUGAACGCUGGCGGCGUGCCUAAUACAUGCAAGUCGAGCGAACGGACGAGAAGCUUGCUUCUCUGAUGUUAGCGGCGGACGGGUGAGUAACACGUGGAUAACCUACCUAUAAGACUGGGGUAACUUCGGGAAACCGGAGCUAAUACCGGAUAAUAUUUUGAACCGCAUGGUUCAAAAGUGAAAGACGGUCUUGCUGUCACUUAUAGAUGGAUCCGCGCUGCAUUAGCUAGUUGGUAAGGUAACGGCUUACCAAGGCAACGAUGCAUAGCCGACCUGAGAGGGUGAUCGGCCACACUGGAACUGAGACACGGUCCAGACUCCUACGGGAGGCAGCAGUAGGGAAUCUUCCGCAAAGGGCGAAAGCCUGACGGAGCAACGCCGCGUGAGUGAUGAAGGUCUUCGGAUCGUAAAACUCUGUUAUUAGGGAAGAACAUAUGUGUAAGUAACUGUGCACAUCUUGACGGUACCUAAUCAGAAAGCCACGGCUAACUACGUG